CGAUUGAUAUGGCUACCGAGAGAAUGAUUACACGAAGCAGACUCUCAUAAAGUCAACGAACGGGUUACAUCGAUCAAAGAGUAUCAGAUUACUUCAAGACAGCUGAGGAGCGUACGAAGAACGAACUCCACAACGUACAUGCGCUACAGGGCAGAGCAGCAGCAGCAGCGGCAGGUAAGCAGGGAGAGGGAGAUCCAUGGAUCGAGCUGCGGCACCGGCUAGCCAUGGCCGAGAGGGAGGAGCCGCGGUUUCAGCGGCGGCGGGCCGUCCUCCAUGGCUAGUACGUUAUUCGACAAGCCUUCAAAUCACAACACAGGCCACAACGCAUAGCUACACGACGAACGGGGAUGAGAGCUUUAUUCGCGGAGACAUCGGAAUCAGCAGUUGCAGGGGUUGCAAGAGCAGUUUGACCCGCAGCGGCAGCCCUCCCUCGCGCUGGAGACGGCCAAGGACCUGCUCGUUUCCGCGGAAUAAGCCAAGGGAGGACGAGGACACUCGAAGGGGAUGAUCAGAGCAGCGAGGGGACCUACCGCUUCUCCGGGGCGACCCCGAGGACCACGGUCGGGGCGGCGGCGGCGGCCUUCUUCUCGGUCCUGCCAUCACAAGAGACGACGACCACCACGGUGACGAUGAUGAUCGGAGAAGAAGGCGGCGACGUUAGGAAAAUAGAGAGGAGAGGGGGGGGGGCUUACUCGCAGCCACAGCCGGAGCCGCAGCUACAGUUGGAACCACAGCCGCAAGGCAUCUUCUUCACUGUGGGGAGGCUUCCUUCGUUCACCUGGGAAGGGAAUCGCGCGGGAUGAGGAAGGAAGACGAAGGUGGGAGGGAUGAAUAAAUAACCCAUCAGCGGGGGGGCCCGCCGCUGCCGUCCGGCAUCCUCCACCCGCCGGCGUGCACUCCACGCCGGGUUCCGUCGCCGUCGUGACGUCGGGGCUGCGAUGAGGAAGCAUGCGAAGAAGCGAUCUCCACUCGCUCUCCAUGCGCGAGAGGUUAUCUGGUCGAAGGCAACGAGGACGUCACCGAUCAGAGAAGAUGUGGGGGGAACGGGCUCGAGC
RNAcentral lists this long non-coding RNA (1055 nucleotides) under Spirodela polyrhiza (greater duckweed). RNAcentral's name for it is "long non-coding RNA (SPOL_LNC001541)". The record is from RNAcentral. Lineage: Eukaryota; Viridiplantae; Streptophyta; Magnoliopsida; Alismatales; Araceae.